GAUGAACGCUGGCGGCGUGCCUAAUACAUGCAAGUCGAGCGAACAGACGAGGAGCUUGCUCCUCUGACGUUAGCGGCGGACGGGUGAGUAACACGUGGAUAACCUACCUAUAAGACUGGGAUAACUUCGGGAAACCGGAUCUAAUACCGGAUAAUAUAUUGAACCGCAUGGUUCAUUAGUGAUAUACGGUUUUGCUGUCGCUUAUAGAUGGAUCCGCGCCGCAUUAGCUAGUUGGUAAGGUAACGGCUUACCAAGGCAACGAUGCGUAGCCGACCUGAGAGAGUGAUCGGCCACACUGGAACUGAGACACGGUCCAGACUCCUACGGGAGGCAGCAGUAUGGAAUCUUCCGCAAUGGUCGAGAGCCUGACGGAGCAACGCCGCGUGAGUGAUGAAGGCCUUCGGAUCGUAAAACUCUGUUAUUAGGGAAGAACAAAUUUGUAAGUAACUGUGCACGUCUUGACGGUACCUAAUCAGAAAGCCACGGCUAACUACGUG
RNAcentral lists this ribosomal RNA (497 nucleotides) under uncultured bacterium. RNAcentral's name for it is "partial 16S ribosomal RNA". It matches the Rfam family "Bacterial small subunit ribosomal RNA", at positions 28 to 507 of the family's 1533-position model. The record is from RNAcentral.